GCUCAGGAUGAACGCUGGCGGCGUGCUUAACACAUGCAAGUCGAACGAAGAGCGAUGGAAGCUUGCUUCUAUCAAUCUUAGUGGCGAACGGGUGAGUAACGCGUAAUCAACCUGCCCUUCAGAGGGGGACAACAGUUGGAAACGACUGCUAAUACCGCAUACGAUCCAAUCUCGGCAUCGAGACUGGAUGAAAGGUGGCCUCUAUUUAUAAGCUAUCACUGAAGGAGGGGAUUGCGUCUGAUUAGCUAGUUGGAGGGGUAACGGCCCACCAAGGCGAUGAUCAGUAGCCGGUCUGAGAGGAUGAACGGCCACAUUGGGACUGAGACACGGCCCAGACUCCUACGGGAGGCAGCAGUA
This 357-nucleotide ribosomal RNA is filed under the name uncultured bacterium. RNAcentral's name for it is "bacterial SSU rRNA". It matches the Rfam family "Bacterial small subunit ribosomal RNA", at positions 22 to 356 of the family's 1533-position model. The record is from RNAcentral.